AUUUAUGAUCAACUUUACUGCAGGAGCAUUGUCUGGUUCUUUUGCAGCUGUUGCGACUUUACCAUUUGAUGUAGUAAAGACACAGAAACAAACACAACUGUGGACGCACGAGUAUUGUAAAUUUCCUGAACCUUUGGAUAUGUCAACCUGGAGUAUAAUGAAGAACAUUGUUGCUGACAGAGGAUUUUCUGGGUUGUUUACAGGUCUAAUUCCUCGAUUAGUUAAAAUUGUUCCUGCGUGUGCCAUUAUGAUCAGUUCAUAUGAAUUAGGAAAGGGGUUCUUCCAGCAGCAAAAUGUUGAAAGUCGGUAAUUCUCAUGAUGGACUUUUGACUUGAGAUAACAACCAGAGCCAAAUAAGAUGAGACUUUGUAGGCAGAAUGGUUUUUUCAACAUUAUUAUCUUAAAGAGUGACUUUAUCUGUCUUCCCUAUAAUUUAAAUGAAUAAUAAUAAUUUCUAGUCCACCUUUAAAUCAUAAUCCUAGUUUUCAGUUUUUGAAAUAUUAAAAACAUAAUCCAGAAACUGCAGCCACUUAGUACUCUUGCAGGACAAGUUUUCUGCGUGCAUAGAUCAUUACACACUUCCCUGUAAACCAAUGCUGUGAGUGUGGG
This 609-nucleotide long non-coding RNA is filed under the name Rattus norvegicus (Norway rat). Its description in RNAcentral is "long non-coding RNA NONRATT021173". The record is from RNAcentral. Lineage: Eukaryota; Metazoa; Chordata; Mammalia; Rodentia; Muridae.